RNAcentral lists this ribosomal RNA (468 nucleotides) under uncultured bacterium. RNAcentral's name for it is "partial 16S ribosomal RNA". The stretch from base 60 to 468 matches the Rfam family "Bacterial small subunit ribosomal RNA", at positions 39 to 507 of the family's 1533-position model. The record is from RNAcentral.
GGGGGGGGGGGGGGGGGGGGGGGGGGGGGGGGGGGGGGGGGGGGGGGGGGGGGGGGGGGGGGGUGCGGGGGUGGGGCGGGGGUGGGUGGCGCGUGGGGACCCUGCCCUGGGGGUUGGGGUGGCUGCCGGAGACUGGGGCUAAGGCCGGAUAGGAGCUCCUGCUGCAUGGUGGGGGUUGGAACGUUUCGGCGGCUGGGGAUGGAGUGGCGGCUUAUCGGCUUGUUGGUGGGUUAGUGGAGUACCAAGGCUUUGACGGGUCGCCGGCCUGAGAGGGUGACCGGCCACAUUGGGACUGAGAUACGGCCCAGACUCCUACGGGAGGCAGCAGUGGGGAAUAUUGCACAACGGGCGGAAGCCUGAGGCAGCAACGCCGGGUUCGGGAUGACGGCCUUCGGGUUGUAAACCGCUUUCGCCUGUGACGAACCGUGAGUGACGGUAAUUGGUAAAGAAGCACCGGCUAACUACGUG